This 148-nucleotide ribosomal RNA is filed under the name Cercozoa sp. RNAcentral's name for it is "partial small subunit ribosomal RNA". It matches the Rfam family "Eukaryotic small subunit ribosomal RNA", at positions 1296 to 1460 of the family's 1831-position model. Lineage: Eukaryota; Cercozoa. The record is from RNAcentral.
AGUUGGUGGAGUGAUUUGUCUGCUUAAUUGCGUUAACGAACGAGACCUCGACCUGCUAAAUAGUUCACUUCAUUCCUUUGGGAUGACUGUGUGACUUCUUAGAGGGACUAUCGGUUCUUAGCCGAUGGAAGUUCGAGGCAAUAACAGG